AUAAUACUCCAUAGAUUAGAGACACUGGAAUGUUCUUUAGUCGAAAGUUCUGGCGCCUUAGGAUGGAUCUGCGGUCGAUUAGGUUGUUGCUGGGGUAACGGCCCAACAAGCCUGUAAUCGAUACGGGUUGUGGGAGCAAGAGCCCGGAGAUGGAAUCUGAGACACGAUUCCAGGCCCUACGGGGCGCAGCAGGCGCGAAAACUUUACAAUGCAGGAAACUGUGAUAAGGGAACUCCGAGUGCCCGUAUACGCGGGCUGUCCAGGUGUUUAAAAAUCAUCUGAAGAAAGGGCCGGGCAAGACCGGUGCCAGCCGCCGCGGUAAUACCGGCGGCUCGAGUGGUGGCCACUAUUAUUGGGCUUAAAGCGUCCGUAGCUGGACCGAUAAGUCUCUUGGGAAAUCCGCCGGCUCAACCGGCGGGCGUCUAAGGGGUACUGUUAGUCUAGGGACCGGGAGAGGUGAGAGGUACUCCGGGGGUAGGAGUGAAAUCCUGUAAUCCCCGGGGGACCACCGAUGGCGAAGGCAUCUCACCAGAACGGCUCCGACAGUGAGGGACGAAAGCUGGGGGAGCGAACCGGAUUAGAUACCCGGGUAGUCCCAGCCGUAAACUAUGCGCGUUAGGUGU
This 623-nucleotide ribosomal RNA is filed under the name uncultured archaeon. RNAcentral's name for it is "bacterial SSU rRNA". It matches the Rfam family "Archaeal small subunit ribosomal RNA", at positions 146 to 774 of the family's 1478-position model. The record is from RNAcentral.